Molecule: ribosomal RNA, 214 nt
Filed under: uncultured bacterium
Lineage: Bacteria
Description: partial 16S ribosomal RNA
Rfam family: Bacterial small subunit ribosomal RNA
Source: RNAcentral
CCCAGUUCGGACUGCAGCCUGCAACCCGGCUGCACGAAGCCGGAAUCGCUAGUAAUCGCAGAUCAGAAUGCUGCGGUGAAUACGUUCCCGGGUCUUGUACACACCGCCCGUCACACCAUGGGAGUCGGAAAUGCCCGAAGUCAGUGGCCCAACCGGAAGGAGGGAGCUGCCGAAGGCAGGUCCGGUGACUGGGGUGAAGUCGUAACAAGGUAGC